This 26-nucleotide transfer RNA is filed under the name Trichopsis schalleri (threestripe gourami). RNAcentral's name for it is "partial tRNA-Thr". The record is from RNAcentral. Lineage: Eukaryota; Metazoa; Chordata; Actinopteri; Anabantiformes; Osphronemidae.
GCCCUAAUAGCUCAGCAUCAGAGCGC